CCUGUGCAUACCCCAAAAUCAUAGCACUCCAUGUUACAACAUUCAAUUAGUCAAAUCCUCCAUUAAUUGACGAAUCUGAGAAUACCCAAAGUCCAAAGUCUUUCAAGAAAUCUAUGGUGUGAUUGUUUACACCAUAAAUUUAUGAGAAUACAACAUCUUUCAUCUCCAAUCUAUGGUGUGACUUUCAAUUCAUCAAAUCGUCCAAUUUGAG
RNAcentral lists this long non-coding RNA (211 nucleotides) under Capsicum annuum. Its description in RNAcentral is "long non-coding RNA (CANN_LNC022202)". Lineage: Eukaryota; Viridiplantae; Streptophyta; Magnoliopsida; Solanales; Solanaceae. The record is from RNAcentral.